AGAGUUUGAUCCUGGCUCAGGAUGAACGCUAGCGACAGGCUUAACACAUGCAAGUCGAGGGGCAGCGGGGGCGUAGCAAUAUGCCUGCCGGCGACCGGCGCACGGGUGAGUAACACGUAUGUAACCUGCCCUAUGCAGGGGGAUAACUCGGAGAAAUCCGGCCUAAUACCGCGUAACACCUUUUGGGAGCAUUUCUGGGAGGUUAAAGGAGAGAUCCGGCAUAGGAUGGACAUGCGUCGCAUUAGGUAGACGGCGGGGUAACGGCCCACCGUGCCGACGAUGCGUAGGGGUUCUGAGAGGAAGGCCCCCCACACUGGUACUGAGACACGGACCAGACUCCUACGGGAGGCAGCAGUGAGGAAUAUUGGUCAAUGGCCGAGAGGCUGAACCAGCCAAGUCGCGUGAGGGAAGAAUGUCCUAAGGAUUGUAAACCUCUUUUGUCGGGGAGCAAAAAGGCUCUGCGGAGUCGUAUUGAGAGUACCCGAAGAAAAAGCAUCGGCUAACUCCGUG
Molecule: ribosomal RNA, 510 nt
Filed under: uncultured Porphyromonadaceae bacterium
Lineage: Bacteria; Pseudomonadati; Bacteroidota; Bacteroidia; Bacteroidales; Porphyromonadaceae
Description: bacterial SSU rRNA
Rfam family: Bacterial small subunit ribosomal RNA
Source: RNAcentral